This is a non-coding RNA of Bactrocera oleae (olive fruit fly), 2717 nucleotides long. The record is from RefSeq and is a predicted model, not a curated record. NCBI's taxonomy places the organism in Eukaryota, Metazoa, Arthropoda, Insecta, Diptera, Tephritidae.
AAUCACUACAACACUCUAACUAGAACUGUGUUUGCUGCACAAUCCAGUAGCCCUUAUAUAGUAAAUCUGUAACAAAACAUUGCUUCUAGAACAUUCUGGCAACUACGAAUUCGCUAACUAGUUGCUUCUGGCAGUUUAUCGUUGAUUCGAUUUUGUUCUAUCAUCCGCGUUUGUCACAAUAUAUAUAUUAUGUAUUAUCGAACAUUCAAAAAAAGAUCGAGCCUACAUUAAUUACAACGUCAGAAUUGGUGAGGAGAAAAAAAAAAUGCAAUAAACGUUUGUUUCGAAAAUAUUCACGUAAAUUUUCAUUAGUGUUUUCCAUUACAAAUACCUUUUCACAAAAAAGUUAUACUGUUUCCUUUUACUUACAUCUCUAUGUCAAAAAAGGCAAAUUUAGAUUAGGUGAUUUCAGCUGUGUAAAAUUCUUGGAAAACAGCAGAUUCUUUUGUUACUUGUAGGUUUAUAUAAUGACUUUGUUCUUCUUUGUCCGAUCGUUUCAUAUACUAGCGAUGAGCGUAUAGGGAUUUUUCGAUAUCUGUGACUCCAGCGAUUACUAUUUUAAAAAUCACUGUGAUCGCCACUAAAAAAAAAACUAAUUUUCAAAUUUGGUUUUAACAAUAAAUAAAAUUAAAAAUAGAAUUAAUUUAAAAAAUUCCAUUAGCAGUUGCAACUUCUGAUUAUUUCUUAAAUAUCUAUACAAUUGAGACAUGAGGGAUGAUCGAGCAAGCAAAUAAAUGCACCAAUAUUGUUUGCUGCAGAUACUCAGAUGAUACCUAUGCUGCAAUAUUUUUGCGUUGAAUAUGAUGCCUGGCUAUACUGCCGCAGUGAUGGAGACACGAACAUCCCCAUGUGUUUAACAUUUGCAUUUAAAAAUAAUAGCAUUUUGGCCUUUCGCUUAAUAUUAUUCUGUCCGUAGAAAAUAACAUUUCAGAAGGCACUGAUGAUUCUAAGCAUCCUAACUUUUCACGAGCAAUUGGUAACAGGUACGGGUACUUAUAACUAUUUGUUUUCCACCACUGCAACGAAUCUUCUGUUCGGCCAAUUACUUCACCCCUAACUGUGAACUUCGAUAAUAAUUUCGAUACAGAAGGUAUAUUUUAAUCCCAACAUCCAAAAUGUUUAAAAAAAGAAAGCUGUAAAUUUUCUGCUAUUGCGAUCACAUGUAACCCUAUUAAGCUGUACUGUUCGCAAUUUCACAAGUUUAUUGUGAACUACUAUCGCGCAAUCGCAAUUCUCAGAAUCGAACUGCUAUUUACAAUGAGUGAUCUCAGUUGCGAUAUCCGUAUUUUCAAUCACAGUAAAAAAAAUCAUCCAAGGCAUUUGCCAUGUCAGGUUGCUAAUGGCUGGUUACGACCUUAACAGGUUUCAAAAUGUAAUCAAAAUCUCAAGAAAUAAAUUCUAGCUACUUGUCGCAUUGGAAUUCAUCAAUGGGGAUAAGUGAGUCGAUGUGACUUAGGGGAGGGCACAAUAGACCCUAAGUCGCGAUACAUACCUCAUUUUCCAAUGUAAUAUAAUCUACGUAAGUAAUAAAAAUACGCAAGUAAGCAUGGGGUGUACUCUUUGUUGCGGGGCAUCACUUCAGCUGUCUGGUAUGUAUACAUGUGUUGUAAACAUGGCUCCCGCAUUUAAUUAGGAUCAGCUAUGUCGCUCACAGUACACACAACGCAUUAAAAUUGGAAUGUCACGAGAUACUGUUUGACGUAGUGUGCUGUUGUUAAAAUAUUGUGGCAAACACGAAUGCCAGAACUAAAUAAAAUCGAUGAUAAAUUGCUAGAAUCAAGCAAGCAGCGAAAUUCGUAUUUGUCAGAAUGUUCGAGUGGCGAUGUUUUCGUAAAAAUCUACUAUAUAAGGGUUGCCAGAUCGUGCAGCAGGGACAGUUUUGAUUAGAGUGCUGCUUAGUAAAAAGCUAUAAGCAAUAACUUGUAAACUCGAAUAACGUGUAAUAAGGGUUAAGUUGUUUGAAUAAGAAAUAAAGAUAAAUGUAUAGCAUUAACUUGAAACUUUUAUUUAACAAUCCAGUGAUCGAACUCAAGAGGGAGCUAUAACGUAAACGUUUUAUCAAGAAAUCCGUUACAAUAUAUUCCCAUUUCUACCGUAAUACUGUACGCCUGACGGCACUGAAGGAAUUUUGUCAAGAUACCAAAGUGGAAUGUAACAAACUGCUGCGAUAUGCACACAAGAUUUUGGGCUCUUAUACCAGCUAUCAAACGUAGUUUAGAACUCUCAAGUCGUAUUUCCUCGCACACGAAAAGGAGAAAAACAGCUGAAGAAAUUUUUUAGAAACGAAUCAUCAAUAUUUUGGUUGAUGUUCGUCCAAGCCGAGUUAUUCGCUGAAUAUCUACUACAGAUUAAAGAUGAUGAUGUUACGGCAAUUGACGUGGCAUAAUCUUUGAAUGCCUUUGAAAAAACGCUGAAAAUGCGGAAAGAAGAUGAUUUUUUAUCACCAGCUACAGUAGCAGAGAAGCAAAGACUUAUUGAUUAGGGAUACAUUUCCGAGGAGAUGGCUGCUAAUCACUCUGCUCUCGCCUAUUUCCAUCUACGGACAGCACCAUAUAAAUCGCUGAAAAUCUUUGGUUGGGCAUCAUUGAAAGAAACACCAAAAUGUCUAAAUAGUUAUGAACAACUUGAGCGAAAACCAUCUGUGCGAUGCCUAUAAAAAAAACCAUAGAUUUGCACUAGCAACUCCAAUAUGUUAAAAACUACUGUACGAGUGAAAA